GCCGGCAUAGCUCAGUUGGUAGAGCAACUGAUUUGUAAUCAGUAGGUCCCGGGUUCGACUCCUGGUGCCGGCACCA
This 76-nucleotide transfer RNA is filed under the name Rhodanobacter ginsengisoli. RNAcentral's name for it is "tRNA-Thr". It matches the Rfam family "tRNA". From Rfam's summary of the family: Transfer RNA (tRNA) molecules are approximately 80 nucleotides in length. Their secondary structure includes four short double-helical elements and three loops (D, anti-codon, and T loops). RNAcentral also lists the same sequence under 19 other names. Lineage: Bacteria; Pseudomonadati; Pseudomonadota; Gammaproteobacteria; Lysobacterales; Rhodanobacteraceae. The record is from RNAcentral.